This is an RNA transcript of Raphanus sativus (radish), 1085 nucleotides long. It is a transcript of the gene named copper-transporting ATPase PAA1, chloroplastic, with no coding region annotated. NCBI's taxonomy places the organism in Eukaryota, Viridiplantae, Streptophyta, Magnoliopsida, Brassicales, Brassicaceae. The transcript is spliced from 5 exons. The record is from RefSeq and is a predicted model, not a curated record.
UACGAAAACAAGAGUAUGUUUCGACAAGUUUCAGCCUGACACCACACAUCUAGAAGAAGUAAACUAAAACAAAGACAGGCUCGUGAAAACGUGGUGAAAAGAAAAGAUAACGAGACUCUCAGGAACCACUUCCAUCCAUGGAGUCUACACUCGCCGCUCUCUCAACGGCUUCGGCAAUACCGACGGCCAGAACUACCGGUCCUUCAUUGCCUCGCCACUUUUCCGGCGCCAGGCACCUCCACGUUGGCCGUCUCGGUGGCUCUCACGCCAGCCGACCAAACACCUCAUCUUCGAAUUCGCUUUGUUAUUCCUCCGCGUUGAGAAGCUUGGGAGCUGCUGGUUCGCCGGUGAACGGGCGCCGUCUGCAGUGUUUGUCCAGCUCAUCUCCGUCCUUCAGUGGUGGCGGUGCUGGAUUCGGCGGUUAUAGCGGCGGAAGAAGCGGUGGAGGCGGCGGAGGAGGAUCGGAUAGUGGUGAUUCAAAGUCGAAGUUGGGUGCUGGAGCAGGUGAUGGCGUCUCUGUUCCGUCUUCAGACAUCAUUGUUCUCAGUGUCGGAGGGAUGACAUGUGGUGGUUGUUCAGCAAGCGUGAAGAAGAUCCUGGAAAGCCAACCACAAGUUGCUUCUGCUAGUGUUAACCUCACCACAGAGACAGCUAUAGUGUGGCCUGUACCUGAAGCCAGAAGUGUACCUGACUGGCAAAAGACUUUAGGGGAGACCCUUGCGAAUCAUCUCAGUAACUGUGGUUUUCAGUCUACUCCUCGAGAUGAAGUUCCUGAAGAUAUUGCUGGAGAAUUUGCACCUUGACAGCAGGAAAAAUUUCGCCAGCAGCAUCACUAAAGAUAUAGUAAUGUUCUGUGAUUAAGAGCAGCUGCUAGUGAGGAAUGGAUUGUAGACAUAGGUUUCUGGUUCUUGUGGCACCGUUUAUGAAGAAUUUGUUGUCAGUAUCAUUUGUGAUAUAUAAGGCCAUGUAUUUAUCUUAUGUUUUCCACUGAAUUCAUUCCUUCUCUGGACCAGACAUCAUAAUCUUGUUCUAACUAGGUUAAUUGAAUUUGAGUAUUUUUUAAAUAAAAAAAAAAAGUUUGUAUA